This 429-nucleotide ribosomal RNA is filed under the name Gemmatimonadota bacterium. Its description in RNAcentral is "Gemmatimonadetes bacterium partial 16S ribosomal RNA". It matches the Rfam family "Bacterial small subunit ribosomal RNA", at positions 355 to 776 of the family's 1533-position model. Lineage: Bacteria; Pseudomonadati; Gemmatimonadota. The record is from RNAcentral.
UAGGGAAUCUUCGGCAAUGGACGAAAGUCUGACCGAGCAACGCCGCGUGAGUGAAGAAGGUUUUCGGAUCGUUAAACUCUGUUGUUAGAGAAGAACAAGGACGUUAGUAACUGAACGUCCCCUGACGGUAUCUAACCAGAAAGCCACGGCUAACUACGUGCCAGCAGCCGCGGUAAUACGUAGGUGUCUAUCGUUGUUCGGAUUUAUUGGGCGUAAAGCGAGCGCAUGCGGUUUCUUAAGUCUGAUGUGAAAGCCCCCGGCUCAACCGGGGAGGGUCAUUGGAAACUGGGAGACUUGAGUGCGGAAGAGGAGAGUGGAAUUCCAUGUGUAGCGGUGAAAUGCGUAGAUAUAUGGAGGAACACCUGUGGCGAAGGCGGCUCUCUGGUCUGUAACUGACGCUGAGGAUCGAAAGCGUGGGGAGCAAACAGG